GGUUACCUACGGGACGCAGCAGUGGGGAAUACUGCACAAUGGGGGAAACCCUGAUGCAGCGACGCCGCGUGAGUGAAGAAGUAAUUCGUUAUGUAAAGCUCUAUCAGCAGGGAAGAAAAUGACGGUACCUGAGUAAGAAGCCCCGGCUAACUACGUGCCAGCAGCCGCGGUAAUACGUAGGGGGCAAGCGUUAUCCGGAUUUACUGGGUGUAAAGGGAGCGUAGACGGCAGUGCAAGUCUGGAGUGAAAGGCGGGGGCUCAACCCCCGGACUGCUCUGGAAACUGUACGGCUGGAGUGCAGGGGG
Molecule: ribosomal RNA, 305 nt
Filed under: uncultured bacterium
Lineage: Bacteria
Description: bacterial SSU rRNA
Rfam family: Bacterial small subunit ribosomal RNA
Source: RNAcentral